This 67-nucleotide transfer RNA is filed under the name Korotnewia korotnewi. RNAcentral describes it as "tRNA-Leu". The record is from RNAcentral. Lineage: Eukaryota; Metazoa; Mollusca; Gastropoda; Littorinimorpha; Baicaliidae.
AUAAGUAAUGGCAGAAAAAUCGCCCUAGGCUUAGGUCCUACUAUGGAGACCCAAUCUCCUUCUUAUA